CGAACGCCGGCGGCGUGCCUAAUACAUGCAAGUGGGACGCAAGGGAACACACCCGUGCUUGCACACCGUGUUUUCUUGAGUCGCGAACGGGUGAGUAACGCGUAGGUAACCUGCCUAUUAGCGGGGGAUAACUAUUGGAAACGAUAGCUAAUACCGCAUAAUAUUAAUUAUUGCAUGAUAAUUGAUUGAAAGAUGCAAGCGCAUCACUAGUAGAUGGACCUGCGUUGUAUUAGCUAGUUGGUAAGGUAAGAGCUUACCAAGGCGACGAUACAUAGCCGACCUGAGAGGGUGAUCGGCCACACUGGGACUGAGACACGGCCCAGACUCCUACGGGAGGCAGCAGUAGGGAAUCUUCGGCAAUGGACGAAAGUCUGACCGAGCAACGCCGCGUGAGUGAAGAAGGUUUUCGGAUCGUAAAGCUCUGUUGUAAGUCAAGAACGUGUGUGACGAUGUGGA
This 456-nucleotide ribosomal RNA is filed under the name Streptococcus mutans. Its description in RNAcentral is "bacterial SSU rRNA". It matches the Rfam family "Bacterial small subunit ribosomal RNA", at positions 30 to 464 of the family's 1533-position model. Lineage: Bacteria; Bacillati; Bacillota; Bacilli; Lactobacillales; Streptococcaceae. The record is from RNAcentral.